Small nuclear RNA from Perognathus longimembris pacificus (Pacific pocket mouse), 104 nucleotides. Lineage: Eukaryota; Metazoa; Chordata; Mammalia; Rodentia; Heteromyidae. The record is from RefSeq and is a predicted model, not a curated record.
GUGCUCACUUUGGCAGCACCUAUACUCGGGUUGGAACGAUACCGAGAUUAGCAUGGCCCCUACACAAGGAUGACAUGCAGAUUUGUGAAGCAUUCCAUGUUAAA